AUGAUGAGCAGCUUAGAUUGCUCAGACAUUCAACAGUCAACACCAGCCAUGAGCCAUUUUGUUUCAAAACACCCCAUGAUCCUGAUCUGCCCCAUGGUGCACUCUGCAAUAGCAUUUGGGAAACAGCAAAGCCAGCUGCAUGCCCUGCCUCUCACUCCAACUGAUGAGGGGACGUACAACCCUGUCUGGAGAAGCUGUCAGAAGGAAUACAGCUAGUAAAAGAGGAGCUAUAAUUUAACUGAAACUGCUGAAGUACAAAUUAAGGCACAUAUUCACCAUCAACAACUUCAGUUUUCAAAGACACAUGCAGUUUGAUACAGAGGCAGAAGCAAGAAGCACAACUGGCUCAAGCACGGCUGGCACCUUUCCGGGAACGUGCCAAAAGUCCCUCUGACACCCACAAAGCUCCCAGUGCUGGAGACAACCAAGAAUACAGGGCUAAAAUUUGGCAGCUACUUAUCAGCAAGCGAUUUAGGGACAUAAGAUAUCUAAGCAUAUAAUUACAUUUUCUUAAUUCCUCAAACACAGUCUGCUGGUGCACACAAGCUCUCUUGGGGAAAUCAGGAAGAAAUUGGACGGACUUUCCAACUGCAGGAUUGGGAAGCUCACAGAGUCACAAUUAUGAUAUUAGAAAAAAAUAUCACAAAUAUGUCAUAUAAACUGGAGAGUAUAAUGUAUGGAUAAACACAUACCUGCUGCAUUGAUUGUAUUUUGUAACAAAAACCAUGAAGGCCAGUAUGUGUGAUUUUGG
This 751-nucleotide long non-coding RNA is filed under the name Anser brachyrhynchus (Pink-footed goose). RNAcentral's name for it is "lncRNA (ENSABRG00000005215.1)". Lineage: Eukaryota; Metazoa; Chordata; Aves; Anseriformes; Anatidae. The record is from RNAcentral.